Molecule: ribosomal RNA, 433 nt
Filed under: uncultured bacterium
Lineage: Bacteria
Description: partial 16S ribosomal RNA
Rfam family: Bacterial small subunit ribosomal RNA
Source: RNAcentral
AACGAACGCUGGCGGCAUGCCUAACACAUGCAAGUCGAAGGAUACCUUCUGGUCUGGUGGCGCCCGAUGGCGUAACGCGUGGGAACCUUCCCUUAGGUUCGGAAUAACUCCCCGACAGGGGUGCUAAUCCCGGAUAAUGUCUUCCGACCAAAGAUUUAUCGCCUUUGGAUGUGCCCGCGUUGGAUUAGCUAGUUGUUACUGUAAAAGCCUACCAAGGCGACGAUCCAUAGCUGGUCUGAGAGGAUGAUCCGACCCACUGGGACUGAGACACGGCCCAGACUCCUACGGGAGGCAGCAGUGGGGAAUAGUAGACACUGGGCGAAAGCAUGAUCCAGCAAUGCCGCGUGAGUGAUGAAGGUCUUAGGGUGGUAAAGCUCUUUUACCCGGGAUGAUAAUGACAGUACCGGGAGAAUAAGCUCCGGCUAACUCCGUG